AAUAUAAUUUUCAAUGGUAGGAUACUACGUCAUCGCGCACCUGCUGAAUGCUCCCACUUGGACCAUUUUUUCGUCGAUUCGAAGAGAUCACUUCUUACGUCGUUGGGCGGGACCCGGUGCCAUGGCAAAGUUUCAACUGACAGGAUCACUUUACAAAAAGGUGCACUUGGCUUAUGUUGGAUCCGAAGGGAUGAUUCAAAAUUAUUGCCAACAACAAAGAUAGGACUAUAAGACUUUAAAUGAACAGUUUGGAUCUCAAGAAUAAAGUUUUUUUUUGAGAUGUUUAAACAAUGGUGGUGCUUUAUAAAGAAGUCAUUAUACAUUGUUUAGUACCAUACUGGAUUAAGAUUCUGUUGGACUCGUACACAUAUUAGAGGCCUGCAUUUAUUCAAUAAUUGCUGACUUUAAUAUCUUGUUAAUAAUUUAAAACCCAAUGAUUUGCGUGUUUGUUAAACUUGUGAUUUAGAUUUUAUAACAACAUAAUAGUACGUUUAUGAACAUAAAGAAGUCAAUAUAUAUCGGCUGAUUUGAAUAGUUUAUUAAAGAACAACAUGUGAAUCAUUUUUGUCAUGAACUGGUUAAAAAGUCAAUGUACUGCCAUACCAUGGCAUAUAAAGCAUGCAUCACAAUUAUUGACAACUUUGACAUUUUUAAGUAUGAAAGUUAUCAUAUGUACGUAUUUUUACCUAAAAUAACAAAAUUAAAUAAAUAAGAAAACAAAGAUCACAGUUAUUUCUUUAUCACAGUCUUUACCAUAUCUUGGUAAUUACAAUUGAAAUUUUAUAUAUAUGUAUAUAAUUAUGCUUCUAAAACAAUUUUCAAACAUUAAGGAAUAUGUGAAAUACUUACUGCAAAUGCUUGUCCACAUUAUAUGUAAUCAUUAAAAUAUACAUGUAUGCAUUCAUUUCUUAUUUAAGAAUUCAACUUACACUUAAAAGAAAAUAUAUUUCUUAAAUUACCUCCCUUUAUGAAAUAUUAAUUCGGUAUUAUCUUUACAAAUAAUGCUUUUUGGAACAUACAAUAUUGAUAAAUCUUCAUUUGAGCAUUAUAUUUAUUAUAUAAAACCAAAGUUGAUUUCAGGAUAUUUAAAUGACGUUAAAAUAAGAACAAUCAUACAAGGAGGAAUCACAGACAGUAAAAUCCCCCGCCGAAAAGGAGGAAAUACAUUUCAUAGGGGAAGUAACCCUUACAUACAUGUAAAAAUCCAAGUAAUGACACUCGUGAAAAUUAAUGAAAAGUUAUAGCGUAGAAAUAAUAAAUCAUAACAAAAAUAACACUCCCAUGAAAAAACAACAAAGAAAAAACAACAAAGAAGCAUUAAGUGAACACUUAUGGGCAUUACGCUCUGCUAGUUCACUUCUAUCUGCACUGUCCCAGUGUUGUUUUCUUAAAUUAAAAACAGCAUACGGAAGUUUUGUUCAAUAUAAAGUUUCAAGUUUAUAUCUCAAAUACCUUUAGAGGUAUGGUCCUUGCAAACUAAUCAUAGUGAAUACAAAGAGCAAUAACUCCAAAAACUGGAGAGUUGUCAUUCUUGUUUGUGGUAUAUCUAUCCUCCAGUGAAGUUUCAGAUAAAUUGAUCCUUUAUGACACAUUGCCCAAUGAUUAACGCAAAAACUGAACAAAAGACAAUUACUUCAAAGAGCUACAAAUCUUGUGUUUUCUAGAGUAUUCCUCCUCACUGAGAUAUAUCCACAGUUGGUAUCUAAAAUAUUUGCUCCAGCUAUGCCGUGUCAAGGUGUCCUGCCAUGUGCUUCCUUACGUCGCAAUGUGGUUUAUACCUUUUCUCAUACUGGUCACAAUCACAAAUACUUUCUGCAAAACAAAACGUUAUUAUAUUUUUAAAAUGUAUAAUCAAUUGUUUCUUAUUUCAGCGACUCUAUUUAACGAGGAAUUAUUUAAACACAACCUUUUUUUCCUUAUUCUUAGGCAGCUAGAAGACAUAUUUACGAGACUGUUAUGAUACAAUAUGUCACAAUUUACUGAUCUAAAUAUUAGUAUCGUAUUUUAAAAAUGCUGUUUCAUUGAAUUCUAACUGAUAAUAUGAAUAUAUGAACUUGAAUAUGAAGAUAUUUUGAAAAAAUAAUAAAUUCUUAACACAGCAAUGUGCUUUCAAAAUAUGUCUAUAUUUAGGUCCGAGUGGGAGCAUCUCUGAAGAUGAGUCCGAGUGGGAGCAUUUUCAAUUUUUAUAAAAAGAAUUAAGAAAAACUGAUUUCUGAAUGGAAAUAUCUGAAACUAAUCUAGAAAAAUGGAUAAACAUGACUCGGUUUAUGUUCCGGUACGUUAAAAAUAAUUUUCAAGAAGGUUUUCAACCUUAUUUCAUAUAUGUUUCGGGAAAAGUCCGAGUGGGAGCAUUCAGAGAAAAACACUUAUCCCGUUUUCAGGCUUAAACCAGGCAAUAAAUCUAUAAA
Long non-coding RNA from Ruditapes philippinarum (Manila clam), 2408 nucleotides. RefSeq lists it as uncharacterized. NCBI's taxonomy places the organism in Eukaryota, Metazoa, Mollusca, Bivalvia, Venerida, Veneridae. The record is from RefSeq and is a predicted model, not a curated record. The transcript has 2 exons.